This 207-nucleotide ribosomal RNA is filed under the name uncultured bacterium. RNAcentral's name for it is "partial 16S ribosomal RNA". It matches the Rfam family "Bacterial small subunit ribosomal RNA", at positions 568 to 774 of the family's 1533-position model. The record is from RNAcentral.
CGCGCAGGCGGACUUUUAAGUCGGAGGUGAAAGCCCAGGGCUCAACCCUGGAAUUGCCUCCGAUACUGGGAGUCUUGAGUUCGGAAGAGGUUGGUGGAACUGCGAGUGUAGAGGUGAAAUUCGUAGAUAUUCGCAAGAACACCGGUGGCGAAGGCGGCCAACUGGUCCGAAACUGACGCUGAGGCGCGAAAGCGUGGGGAGCAAACA